GGGGACAUAGCUCAGUGGUAGAGCAUAUGCUUAGCAUGCACAAGGUCCCAGGUUCAAUCGCCAGUACCUCCA
RNAcentral lists this transfer RNA (72 nucleotides) under Camelus bactrianus (Bactrian camel). It matches the Rfam family "tRNA". From Rfam's summary of the family: Transfer RNA (tRNA) molecules are approximately 80 nucleotides in length. Their secondary structure includes four short double-helical elements and three loops (D, anti-codon, and T loops). The record is from Rfam by way of RNAcentral. RNAcentral also lists the same sequence under 2 other names. Lineage: Eukaryota; Metazoa; Chordata; Mammalia; Artiodactyla; Camelidae.